RNAcentral lists this long non-coding RNA (210 nucleotides) under Citrus maxima (pomelo). Its description in RNAcentral is "long non-coding RNA (CMAX_LNC001846)". The record is from RNAcentral. Lineage: Eukaryota; Viridiplantae; Streptophyta; Magnoliopsida; Sapindales; Rutaceae.
UUGAGACUUACAUUAUUACAUUGAAUUCUAUGAAGUACAUGCCCAGACAAAUAACCUCUCACAGGAGAGGGAUGUCCAUACUCCACUUGCAUUUCGUAAGGGAGAAUGAUUUUUUAAAUAUAAAGAACAUUUAGCCCCCACAAUGCUUUUGUAGGGGUUAGAACCGCUGCCCUCACAAACAUUGUGAGGGCAGCAGCCCACCACUUCGGC